ACACAGAAACACCACCUGAACCAGCCGGGACACGAACCAGCGACCUUCUUGCCUACUGUACACAUCCACAUAGAAAUCAACAGUGCUUUUUAAGUGUGUGUGUGUGUGUGUGUGUGUGUGUUCGUUCACUGUUCAGUGAGAGUGGAUGUUUUCCUCUGUGCUGUAGUUCCUCCUCCUGCGCACGUGCGUGCGUGUGUGUGUGUGUGUGUGUGUGUGAUUAGACGGUAUGCGGCUCAGACUCAGGUAACACACUCUCUCAGACAGCAGGAUGGCGAGUGUGUGUUUGUGUUGAGAAUGGAGAAGAAAGUGUGUGUGAUCCAGACUGACUUCCAGCAGAACAGACCCAUCAUCGCCAUACACAGCAAACCACUGGCUCACGUUCAUCCGCUGCAGACAGAGAUGAAGGACCGAGACGAGCUGAAGAAGGCGAUGGAGCAGAGUGAGCGUCUGCAGAGCCGCGUGCAGCAGCUGGAGGAGGAGAACACUGAGCUGAGCAGGCAGAAGCAUGAGGCAUUCGUCCGCAUGCGUGCUCUCCAUGCACUCGUCUAGGCACUUGCAGCAGAGCUCUGGAUGUCCUGUCGGGACUAGUUUGAUAGAUGAUCCUCUCGUUUGAAGGAAGAUCGUCUCGGCUGCCGGAUACGGGUCUGUGUGUUCUCCGCUGUCUUGUUUUGCUCGUUCCCUUCAUGUCCCUGUCCAUGCUGUUGCUAGGUGUUGCUUGGUUGCCAUGGUAUUGCUAUUUGGUGUUAAAGCAUCUUGAGUUUAUUUUAGUCUGUUGCUAUGCUGUUGCUAGGUGAAGAGUGUUGCCAAGAUGUUGCCAUGUUGUGUUAAAGCAUCCUGAGUGUAUUUUAGUCAGUUGCUAUGCUGUUGCUAGGUGAAGAGUGUUGCCAAGAUGUUGCCAUGUUGUGUUAAAGCAUCCUGAGUGUAUUUUAGUCAGUUGCUAUGCUGUUGCUAGGUGCAGAGUGUUGCCAAGAUGUUGCUAUGUUAAAGCAUUCUGAGUGUAUUUUAGUCAGUUGCUAUGCUGUUGCUAGGUGUAGAGUGUUGCCAUGGCGUUGCUAUGUGGUGUUAAAGCAUCCUGAGUGUGUUUUAGUCAGUUGCUAUGCUGUUGCUAGGUGCAGAGUGUUGCCAUGGUGUUGCUAUGUGGUGUUAAAGCAUCCUGAGUGUGUUUUAGUCAGUUGCUAUGCUGUUGCUAGGUGCAGAGUGUAGCCAUUGUGUUGCUAUGUGGUGUUAAAGCAUCCUGAGUGUAUUUUAGUCAGUUUCUAUGUGGUUGCUAGGUGUAGAGUGUUGCCAAGACGUUUCUAUGUGGUUGGUAAAGCAUCCUGAGUGUAUUUUAGUCAGUUGCUAUGCUGUUGCUAGGUAUAGUGUGUUGCCAAGGCGUUUCUAUGUGGUUGGUAAAGCAUCCUGAGUGUAUUUUAGUCAGUUGCUAUGCUGUUGCUAGGUGUAGAGUGUUGCCAAGGCGUUUCUAUGUGGUUUGUAAAGCAUCCUGAGUGUAUUUUAGUCAGUUGCUAUGCUGUUGCUAGGUGUAGAGUGUUGCCAAGGCGUUUCUAUGUGGUUGGUAAAGCAUCCUGAGUGUAUUUUAGUCAGUUGCUAUGCUGUUGCUAGGUGUAGAGUGUUGCCAAGGUGUUGCUAUGUUGUGGUUUAAGCAUCCUGAGUGUAUUUUAGUCAGUUGCUAGGCUGUUGCUAGGUGUAGAGUGUUGCCAUGGUGUUGCUAUGUGGUUGUUAAAACACCCUGAGUGUGUUUUAGUCAGUUCCUAUGCUGUUGCUAGGUGCAGAUUUUUGCCAAAGUGUUGCUUUGUGCCUUUUAAGCAUCUUUAGUGUAUUUUAGUCAGUUGCUAUACUGUUGCUAGGUGUAGAGUGUUGCCAAGGUGUUGCUAUGUUGUGGUUUAAGCAUACUGAGUGUAUUUUAGUCAGUUGCUAUGCUGUUGCUAGGUGUAGAGUGUUGCCAAGGUGUUUCUAUGUGGUUGGUAAGGCAUCCUGGGUGUAUUUUAGUCAGUUGCUAUGCUGUUGCUAGGUGUAGAGUGUUGCCAAGGCAUUUCUAUUCGGUUGUUAAAGUAUCCUGAGUGUAUUUUAGUCAGUUGCUAUGCUGUUGCUAAAUCAAAGUGUUGCCAAAGUGUUGCUGUGUGAUUCAUAAAGCAACUUACAGUGGGUGUAUGUUAGUCAGUUGCUAUGUAUUAAGUGGUUGCCAGACUGUUACUAUGCAGCUAUUAAAGCAUCCUGAAUGAUUUUUAUUCAGUUGCCAUGGUGUUGCUAGGUGCAGAGUGUUUGACAUUGAUAUGAUUAUAUGGCAAAUAUGAUUGUUUGUUUGUUGUUUGUUGUCAAUUAUAAAAAAAUAAAAGUGUUUUAUAGUCCAGAAAGGUUGCAGAGGCUGUUGUGGAUUGUUGUCUGGGUAUUUUGUGUUGUAUUAAGUGGUUAAUAUUGAGUUCAGAUGAUUUCUCAUUGAGUGCUAGACAUUACAGGAGCUCAAUCCAGCUAUGAAAUUUCCUGGAUAGUGCUCAGGGGCUCUAAGCCUGUUUUCUCUUUUAAGUCUGGUAUUUUAUGAUCCGCCAGGUGUAAAUCGCAGCGGAGCCUUUGCAGACAGCAGUAAUUAUAGACUGCAGAGACAUCUGUGCAUUGUGUUUUAUCUCAAAAUUACUUAGCAUUUACUUUUCACUCAGAAAUCACUCGUAAAUUUCAUUUUUAUUUAUACAGUACUGACAGGUAUCAUACUGAGAUGAGCACAAGUUCUAAAUAUAGUCUAAUAUAAAGUGUCUAUCGUGUAUAUUUAUAUAUAAUAUUAAAUGUAGCAUGAAUCUGUUUUGCUGGGCUUUUACCCAGAGAACUCAAACUAUAGCGAACAUUUCUCUAUACACCUCAGCAUGCUUUAUGCCAAAUAAUGUGUAGCUUUGCUAUGGACAAAAGCACAAGACCAAACACAACUCAAUGGAUAAGAAAGAUGUUGUCAAGCCUGCCAUUAGAAAAGAUCAUUACAUACUAAAAGCUGAACAGCAUUUAUUUAUUUAUUAAAACACAUGGAGUCCCUGCAUUAGAUACACUGAAGGUGUGAAAUUCACAGAGGGAGAAGUUGAUGAAUAAUCUUCAUGUGGACAGUGUAGUUGCAGUCUUACAGUCCUGUAUUUAUACACUCUUCAGUCGAUAUAUUUGCUGUACACUGUAUUCAGAAUGAUCACUUUUGAAUAGAUUAGCAUAAC
Molecule: non-coding RNA, 3185 nt
Organism: Danio rerio (zebrafish)
Lineage: Eukaryota; Metazoa; Chordata; Actinopteri; Cypriniformes; Danionidae
Source: RefSeq, a predicted model, not a curated record